UGCCUACGGGAGGCAGCAGUGAGGAAUAUUGGUCAAUGGGCGCGAGCCUGAACCAGCCAAGUCGCGUGAGGGAAGACGGUCCUAUGGAUUGUAAACCUCUUUUGUCGGGGAGCAAAAGACGCCACGCGUGGCGUUCCGAGAGUACCCGAAGAAAAAGCAUCGGCUAACUCCGUGCCAGCAGCCGCGGUAAUACGUAGGGAGCAAGCGUUAUCCGGAUUUAUUGGGUGUAAAGGGUGCGUAGACGGGUAUACAAGUUAGUAGUGAAAUCCCUCGGCUUAACUGAGGAACUGCUACUAAAACUAUAU
RNAcentral lists this ribosomal RNA (305 nucleotides) under uncultured bacterium. Its description in RNAcentral is "bacterial SSU rRNA". It matches the Rfam family "Bacterial small subunit ribosomal RNA", at positions 335 to 638 of the family's 1533-position model. The record is from RNAcentral.